This 422-nucleotide ribosomal RNA is filed under the name uncultured cyanobacterium. RNAcentral's name for it is "bacterial SSU rRNA". It matches the Rfam family "Bacterial small subunit ribosomal RNA", at positions 358 to 795 of the family's 1533-position model. The record is from RNAcentral. Lineage: Bacteria; Bacillati; Cyanobacteriota.
GGAAUUUUCCGCAAUGGGCGAAAGCCUGACGGAGCAAUACCGCGUGAGGGAUGAAGGCCUCUGGGCUGUAAACCUCUUUUAUCAAGGAAGAAGAUCUGACGGUACUUGAUGAAUAAGCCACGGCUAAUUCCGUGCCAGCAGCCGCGGUAAUACGGGAGUGGCAAGCGUUAUCCGGAAUUAUUGGGCGUAAAGCGUCCGCAGGCGGCCCUUCAAGUCUGCUGUUAAAAAGUGGAGCUUAACUCCAUCAUGGCAGUGGAAACUGUUGGGCUUGAGUGUGGUAGGGGCAGAGGGAAUUUCUAGUGUAGCGGUGAAAUGCGUAGAUAUUAGAAAGAACACCGGUGGCGAAAGCGCUCUACUGGACCAUUACUGACACUCAGAGGCGAAAGCUAGGGUAGCAAAAGGGAUUAGAUACCCCUGUAGUC